UCUCGUUUCACAAUUCUUGGUACCUAACACU
Molecule: non-coding RNA, 31 nt
Filed under: Rattus norvegicus (Norway rat)
Lineage: Eukaryota; Metazoa; Chordata; Mammalia; Rodentia; Muridae
Source: RNAcentral